AGUGAACGCUGGCGGUAGGCCUAACACAUGCAAGUCGAACGGCAGCACAGUAAGAGCUUGCUCUUACGGGUGGCGAGUGGCGGACGGGUGAGGAAUACAUCGGAAUCUACUUUUUCGUGGGGGAUAACGUAGGGAAACUUACGCUAAUACCGCAUACGACCUACGGGUGAAAGCAGGGGAUCUUCGGACCUUGCGCGAUUGAAUGAGCCGAUGUCGGAUUAGCUAGUUGGCGGGGCAAAGGCCCACCAAGGCGACGAUCCGUAGUAGGUCUGAGAGGAUGAUUAGCCCCACUGGAACGGGGACACGGUCCAGACGCCUACGGGAAGCAGCAGUGGGGAAUAGUGGGCCAGGGGCGCAAGCCUGAGCCCGCCAUACCGCGGGGGUGAAGAAGGCCUUCGGGUUGGAAAGCCCUUUUGUUGGGAAAGAAAAGCAGCAGGUUAAUACCCCGCUGUUCUGACGGUACCCCAAGAAUAAACCCCCGCUUACUUCGGUC
Molecule: ribosomal RNA, 493 nt
Filed under: uncultured bacterium
Lineage: Bacteria
Description: partial 16S ribosomal RNA
Rfam family: Bacterial small subunit ribosomal RNA
Source: RNAcentral